CGGACGGGUGAGUAAUACUUAGGAAUCUGCCCAUUAGUGGGGGACAACUAGAAGAAAUUCUAGCUAAUACCGCAUACGCCCUACGGGGGAAAGCGGGGGAUCUUCGGACCUCGCGCUAAUGGAUGAGCCUAAGUCGGAUUAGCUUGUUGGUGAGGUAAUGGCUCACCAAGGCGACGAUCCGUAGCUGGUCUGAGAGGACGAUCAGCCACACUGGGACUGAGACACGGCCCAGACUCCUACGGGAGGCAGCAGUGGGGAAUAUUGGACAAUGGGCGCAAGCCUGAUCCAGCAAUGCCGCGUGUGUGAAGAAGGCCUGCGGGUUGUAAAGCACUUUCAGUAGAGAAGAAAAGCCUACGGUUAAUAACCGUGAGUCUUGACGUAACCUACAGAAGAAGCACCGGCUAACUCCGUGCCAGCAGCCGCGGUAAUACGGAGGGUGCGAGCGUUAAUCGGAAUUACUGGGGCGUAAAGCGCGCGUAGGCGGCUUUGUCAGUCGGAUGUGAAAGCCCCGGGGCUUAACCUGGGAAUUGCAUUCGAUACUGCAGAGCUAGAGUAUGGUAGAGGGAAGUGGGAAUUUCCGGGUGUAGCGGUGAAAUGCGUAAAUUAUCCGGGAGGAACCCCAGUGGCGAAAGCGACUUCCUGGGCCAAUACUGACGCUGAGUGCGAAAGCGUGGGGAGCAAACAGGAUUAGAUACCC
Molecule: ribosomal RNA, 697 nt
Filed under: uncultured Pseudomonas sp.
Lineage: Bacteria; Pseudomonadati; Pseudomonadota; Gammaproteobacteria; Pseudomonadales; Pseudomonadaceae
Description: bacterial SSU rRNA
Rfam family: Bacterial small subunit ribosomal RNA
Source: RNAcentral